Molecule: long non-coding RNA, 1181 nt
Organism: Bos taurus (domestic cattle)
Lineage: Eukaryota; Metazoa; Chordata; Mammalia; Artiodactyla; Bovidae
Source: Ensembl
GCCCAGCCCAGCAGAGCCCUCCAGAGGUGGACGCCCAGCGGAUGGACGCGGCGCUCAGCCCGGCUCCGAGGACACCGCUGCUGGGUCAGCCCCUGUCACCCUGGCUCAUAGCCACGUCCUAAGCCAAAACCUCUAUGCCAGAGGAGGGGGCUCCUCUUUUAUCCCCAUUUGACGGACGAGGACACUGAGGCCGGGAAACCCAGGGACAUGCCUGAGGUCAGGUGGCCAGAGGUGAAACGUAUGUCCCUCUCUCUGAACACACAUAAAUAGCCUGCACAGGCCCCCAGAGCCCAUUUAGCUCAGGACAGAAGGCAGACAGGGAGACCUGGGUCCCGGCUCAACUCAGACACAAACAGAACCCGUCCUGCAUAUCAGACACGGGCUCCUGUCGAGGAGAAGAGCCAGGUGCCUGAGGAAAGGAGCCUCAGGAUGGUGUCCCAAGGGCCCUUGAGGAAAAGGACCAGGGCUGGGACCUGGCUGAGUCGAGGGGCCACUCGAGGGCCCAGUGACCAGGAAGACCCCGUGGAGUGAGUGUGUGACCCCUCGGGGGCCCAGGGACCAGGAAGACCCCGUGGAGUGAGUGUGUGACCCCUCGGGGGCCCAGUGACCAGGAAGACCCCGUGGAGUGAGUGUGUGACCCCUCGGGGGCCCAGGGACCAGGAAGACCCCGUGGAGUGAGUGUGUGACCCCUCGGGGGCCCGGGGGCCAGGAAGACCCCGUGGAGUGAGUGUGUGACCCCUCGGGGGCCCGGGGACCAGGAAGACCCUGUGGAGUGAGUGUGUGACCCCUCGGGGGCCCGGAGACCGGGAGGAUGCCGUGGAGUGGCUGCAUGACCCCGGCCGUGGCCACACGCUCUGGGAAGCCGGCCGCCCGCAACUCCCCAGCAGGACUCUGAAUACUGGCACUUGACCCUCAGGUGACCGAGACGCUGUCUGAGUCCUGUCAACGUCAGGAUGUGAGGGGAAGCUCUGGCUGCAGCCCCUACACUUCCAAGAGACGUCCAGGAGGCCCGGGGUGCUUGUGGUAUAGGCCAGCAGGGUCCUCACCAGAAACACCCCAAACAGCCAGCAGGCCUCACGGGACCAGGCCCCCAGGAGCCGGUGUCAAAGCUCCUGCAGCAGGAGCCCACCUGGCCCCAGUGCCCCAGGCCAGGACCGCAAGGGCCAGGCCUCCACCGGUGA